Molecule: ribosomal RNA, 1441 nt
Filed under: uncultured organism
Description: 16S ribosomal RNA
Rfam family: Bacterial small subunit ribosomal RNA
Source: RNAcentral
UGAACGCUGGCGGCAGGCCUAACACAUGCAAGUCCAGCGUUUUCACAAGAGAGCUUGCUCUCUGGGUGACGAGCGGCGGACGGGUGAGUAAUGUCUGGGAAACUGCCUGAUGGAGGGGGAUAACUACUGGAAACGGUAGCUAAUACCGCAUGAUGUCUUCGGACCAAAGUGGGGGACCUUCGGGCCUUACGCCAUCAGAUGUGCCCAGAUGGGAUUAGCUAGUAGGUGGGGUAAUGGCUCACCUAGGCGACGAUCCCUAGCUGGUCUGAGAGGAUGACCAGCCACACUGGAACUGAGACACGGUCCAGACUCCUACGGGAGGCAGCAGUGGGGAAUAUUGCACAAUGGGCGCAAGCCUGAUGCAGCCAUGCCGCGUGUAUGAAGAAGGCCUUCGGGUUGUAAAGUACUUUCAGCGGGGAGGAAGGGAGUAAAGUUAAUACCUUUGCUCAUUGACGUUACCCGCAGAAGAAGCACCGGCUAACUCCGUGCCAGCAGCCGCGGUAAUACGGAGGGUGCAAGCGUUAAUCGGAAUUACUGGGCGUAAAGCGCACGCAGGCGGUUUGUUAAGUCAGAUGUGAAAUCCCCGGGCUCAACCUGGGAACUGCAUCUGAUACUGGCAAGCUUGAGUCUCGUAGAGGGGGGUAGAAUUCCAGGUGUAGCGGUGAAAUGCGUAGAGAUCUGGAGGAAUACCGGUGGCGAAGGCGGCCCCCUGGACGAAAGAAUGACGCUCAGGUGCGAAAGCGUGGGGAGCAAACAGGAUUAGAUACCCUGGUAGUCCACGCCGUAAACGAUGUCGAUUUGGAGGUUGUGCCCUUGAGGCGUGGCUUCCGGAGCUAACGCGUUAAAUCGACCGCCUGGGGAGUACGGCCGCAAGGUUAAAACUCAAAUGAAUUGACGGGGGCCCGCACAAGCGGUGGAGCAUGUGGUUUAAUUCGAUGCAACGCGAAGAACCUUACCUGGUCUUGACAUCCACAGAACUUUCCAGAGAUGGAUUGGUGCCUUCGGGAACUGUGAGACAGGUGCUGCAUGGCUGUCGUCAGCUCGUGUUGUGAAAUGUUGGGUUAAGUCCCGCAACGAGCGCAACCCUUAUCCUUUGUUGCCAGCGGUCCGGCCGGGAACUCAAAGGAGACUGCCAGUGAUAAACUGGAGGAAGGUGGGGAUGACGUCAGGUCAUCAUGGCCCUUACGACCAGGGCUACACACGUGCUACAAUGGCAUAUACAAAGAGAAGCGACCUCGCGAGAGCAAGCGGACCUCAUAAAGUAUGUCGUAGUCCGGAUUGGAGUCUGCAACUCGACUCCAUGAAGUCGGAAUCGCUAGUAAUCGUAGAUCAGAAUGCUACGGUGAAUACGUUCCCGGGCCUUGUACACACCGCCCGUCACACCAUGGGAGUGGGUUGCAAAAGAAGUAGGUAGCUUAACCUUCGGGAGGGCGCUUACCAC